AUACGUAGGGGGCGAGCGUUGUCCGGAAUGAUUGGGCGUAAAGGGCGCGUAGGCGGCCCGGUAAGUCUGGAGUGAAAGUCCUGUUUUUAAGAUGGGAAUUGCUUUGGAUACUGUCGGGCUUGAGUGCAGGAGAGGUAAGUGGAAUUCCCAGUGUAGCGGUGAAAUGCGUAGAGAUUGGGAGGAACACCAGUGGCGAAGGCGACUUACUGGCCUGUAACUGACGCUGAGGCGCGAAAGUGUGGGGAGCAAACAGGAUUAGAUACCCUGGUAGUCCACACUGUAAACGAUGAAUGCUAGGUGUAGGGGGUAUCGACCCCUUCUGUGCCGCAGUCAACACAAUAAGCAUUCCGCCUGGGGAGUACGGCCGCAAGGUUGAAACUCAAAUGAAUUGACGGGG
Molecule: ribosomal RNA, 397 nt
Filed under: uncultured bacterium
Lineage: Bacteria
Description: partial 16S ribosomal RNA
Rfam family: Bacterial small subunit ribosomal RNA
Source: RNAcentral